GAUGAACGCUGGCGGCGUGCCUAAUGCAUGCAAGUCGAGCGAACGGACGAGAAGCUUGCUUCUCUGAUGUUAGCGGCGGACGGGUGAGUAACACGUGGAUAACCUACCUAUAAGACUGGGAUAACUUCGGGAAACCGUAGCUAAUACCGGAUAAUAUUUUGAACCGCAUGGUUCAAAAGUGAAAGACGGUCUUGCUGUCACUUAUAGAUGGAUCCGCGCUGCAUUAGCUAGUUGGUAAGGUAACGGCUUACCAAGGCAACGAUGCAUAGCCGACCUGAGAGGGUGAUCGGCCACACUGGAACUGAGACACGGUCCAGACUCCUACGGGAGGCAGCAGUAGGGAAUCUUCCGCAAUGGGCGAAAGCCUGACGGAGCAACGCCGCGUGAGUGAUGAAGGUCUUCGGAUCGUAAAACUCGGUUAUUAGGGAAGAACAUAUGUGUAAGUAACUGUGCACAUCUUGACGGUACCUAAUCAGAAAGCCACGGCUAACUACGUG
Molecule: ribosomal RNA, 497 nt
Filed under: uncultured bacterium
Lineage: Bacteria
Description: partial 16S ribosomal RNA
Rfam family: Bacterial small subunit ribosomal RNA
Source: RNAcentral